This 68-nucleotide transfer RNA is filed under the name Parapercis sexfasciata (grubfish). Its description in RNAcentral is "tRNA-Ser(AGY)". The record is from RNAcentral. Lineage: Eukaryota; Metazoa; Chordata; Actinopteri; Uranoscopiformes; Pinguipedidae.
AAGAGAGGCUGGCUAGCAAUGAAAUCUGCUAAAUUUCAACACCUUGGUUGAAAUCCAAGGCUCACUUG